GAGUUUGAUCAUGGCUCAGAACGAACGCUGGCGGCAGGCCUAACACAUGCAAGUCGAGCGCACCUUCGGGUGAGCGGCGGACGGGUUAGUAACGCGUGGGAACAUACCCUUUUCUACGGAAUAGCCUCGGGAAACUGAGAGUAAUACCGUAUAAGCCCUUCGGGGGAAAGAUUUAUCGGGAAAGGAUUGGCCCGCGUUAGAUUAGAUAGUUGGUGGGGUAAUGGCCUACCAAGUCUACGAUCUAUAGCUGGUUUUAGAGGAUGAUCAGCAACACUGGGACUGAGACACGGCCCAGACUCCUACGGGAGGCAGCAGUGGGGAAUCUUAGACAAUGGGCGCAAGCCUGAUCUAGCCAUGCCGCGUGUGUGAUGAAGGUCUUAGGAUCGUAAAGCACUUUCGCCAGGGAUGAUAAUGACAGUACCUGGUAAAGAAACCCCGGCUAACUCCGUGCCAGCAGCCGCGGUAAUACGGAGGGGGUUAGCGUUGUUCGGAAUUACUGGGCGUAAAGCGUACGUAGGCGGAUUGGAAAGUUGGGGGUGAAAUCCCAGGGCUCAACCCUGGAACUGCCUCCAAAACUAUCAGUCUAGAGUUCGAGAGAGGUGAGUGGAAUUCCAAGUGUAGAGGUGAAAUUCGUAGAUAUUUGGAGGAACACCAGUGGCGAAGGCGGCUCACUGGCUCGAUACUGACGCUGAGGUACGAAAGUGUGGGGAGCAAACAGGAUUAGAUACCCUGGUAG
RNAcentral lists this ribosomal RNA (736 nucleotides) under uncultured bacterium. RNAcentral's name for it is "bacterial SSU rRNA". It matches the Rfam family "Bacterial small subunit ribosomal RNA", at positions 9 to 793 of the family's 1533-position model. The record is from RNAcentral.